Long non-coding RNA from Epinephelus moara (kelp grouper), 332 nucleotides. RefSeq lists it as uncharacterized. Lineage: Eukaryota; Metazoa; Chordata; Actinopteri; Perciformes; Serranidae. The record is from RefSeq and is a predicted model, not a curated record. The transcript has 3 exons.
GCUGACUGUUGGAGAGGAGGCUCCAGAGGGAAUAUAGGCCAGGUCCACGUACACACUGACUUCACCAGCAGAGUUGGUGUGGUGAGAGCAGUCCUUUGUGAAACAGCAGGUCACCGCUGUAUUCCACGCUCUGACCGGCCAAGAUCAACAGCUUAUGUGCCGAUUCCCUGGACAGCAGAGCAAACACCUGGCCAGGCCACAGAGAGAUGCGGGAAAUCCAACGAGCGCGUCUCCAGUGAGGAGUCCUCUGCGCGAGCGAGCCACAGGUAGGCGUAGCAGCAGGUGACCGCGAGGAGGAGAGCCCGAGCGCUGACCAUGGUGCUGACACACGA